UGAAAAUAUUUGAAAUAUUAAAAGAAAAAUCCUCGAAACAUGUAUUUCUAAAGACAAAGUUGCCAGAACUGGCCAGGAGAGGGAGACAGAGACCACGCUGUGAAUAGCGUUCGCUGUUAAAAUAGCGUUUGCUAUAAUCGGCGUCUUUCAGCAUCCAAGGGGAGGGGCGCUGGAACUGAUCCCCUGCAAAUAUGGGGGUCCUCCUGGACACUCAUCGUCCGGCAAAGGUAAGAUGUGUCUUUGUGGCUCACGUUUUGUGUUCCUGUUCUAACACAAGAGAGGUGAGGACGGCAGGAAAGGACAUGUAGAAAAAUCUUAACUCUGUUGCUUCCAGAGUCUCUCGUUUAACUCGCUCUCUUUCUCGUUCUCUUGCUUGCUGGCAUCUUCAAGGUCGCACGUUUAGAGGCGGAGCUGUGCCAGGCACAGAAGAUGAAGCCAGACAAGGUGGAUGAAGACACGGCAGACUUCCAAAAGAGGCUGAAGAUUCACCAAGAGAAAGUCAGAGCACUGGAAAGCAAACUUUCCGAGGUGGAGAAACAGAGGGAGCAACUGGCCGGGGACCUGGAAGUAACGCAGAAGGCGCUGAACGAGGAGAAGAAGGUGAGUUGUCCCCCACCCGCGUGGCGGCCGGCGGCGGAAUCUUUAUGGCUGAAUCUCCAGAGACCAUAGCAGAAUCC
RNAcentral lists this long non-coding RNA (677 nucleotides) under Pogona vitticeps (central bearded dragon). Its description in RNAcentral is "lncRNA (ENSPVIG00000018052.1)". Lineage: Eukaryota; Metazoa; Chordata; Lepidosauria; Squamata; Agamidae. The record is from RNAcentral.